UAGGGAAUCUUCCACAAUGGACGCAAGUCUGAUGGAGCAACGCCGCGUGAGUGAAGAAGGUUUUCGGACCGUAAAGCUCUGUUGUUGGUGAAGAAGGAUAGAGGUAGUAACUGGCCUUUAUUUGACGGUAAUCAACCAGAAAGUCACGGCUAACUACGUGCCAGCAGCCGCGGUAAUACGUAGGUGGCAAGCGUUGUCCGGAUUUAUUGGGCGUAAAGCGAGCGCAGGCGGAAGAAUAAGUCUGAUGUGAAAGCCCUCGGCUUAACCGAGGAAUUGCAUCGGAAACUGUUUUUCUUGAGUGCAGAAGAGGAGAGUAGAACUCCAUGUGUAGCGGUGGAAUGCGUAGAUAUAUGGAAGAAUACCAGUGGCGAAGGCGGCUCUCUGGUCUGCAAA
RNAcentral lists this ribosomal RNA (393 nucleotides) under uncultured bacterium. RNAcentral's name for it is "partial 16S ribosomal RNA". It matches the Rfam family "Bacterial small subunit ribosomal RNA", at positions 355 to 740 of the family's 1533-position model. The record is from RNAcentral.